AGAGUUUGAUCAUGGCUCAGGAUGAACGCUGGCGGCGUGCCUAAUACAUGCAAGUCGAACGAAAAGAGGAGCUUGCUUCUCUUUUAGUGGCGAACGGGUGAGUAAUACAUAAGCAACCUACCUAUUUGACCGGGAUAACAGUUGGAAACGACUGCUAAUACCGGAUAGGUGCGCGGGGGACAUCCCCUGCACAUUAAAGCUGGGACACAGCACGAAUGGAUGGGCUUAUGGCGCAUUAGUUAGUUGGCGGGGUAACGGCCCACCAAGACGAUGAUGCGUAGCCGACCUGAGAGGGUGACCGGCCACACUGGGACUGAGACACGGCCCAGACUCCUACGGGAGGCAGCAGUAGGGAAUUUUCGGCAAUGGGCGCAAGCCUGACCGAGCAACGCCGCGUGAGUGAAGAAGGCCUUCGGGUUGUAAAGCUCUGUUGUAAGGGAAGAAUGGCCAAGAGAGGGAAUGCUCUUGGAGUGACGGUACCUUACCAGAAAGCCACGGCUAACUACGUGCCAGCAGCCGCGGUAAUACGUAGGUGGCAAGCGUUAUCCGGAAUUAUUGGGCGUAAAGGGAGCAUAGGCGGUUUGAUAAGUCUGANGUGAAAGUUCGGGCUCAACUCCGAAUUGCUUAGAAACUGUCAGACUAGAGUGCAGGAGAGGGCAAUGGAAUUCCAUGUGUAGCGGUAAAAUGCGUAGAUAUAUGGAGGAACCCCAUUGGCGAAGGCGGUUGCCUGGCCUGUAACUGACGCUGAGGCUCGAAGCGUGGGGAGCAAUAGGAUAGAUACCUAGUAGUCCCCCUGUAAACGAUGAUUACUAAGUGUUGGAGCAAUUCAGUGCUGCAGUUAACGCAAUAAGUAAUCCGCCUGGGGAGUAUGCACGCAAGUGUGAAACUCAAAGGAAUUGACGGGGGCCCGCACAAGCGGUGGAGUAUGUGGUUUAAUUCGAAGCAACGCGAAGAACCUUACCAAGUCUUGACAUACCGUGCAAAACCCUGGAGACAGGGGAAUAGUUAUGGCGGAUACAGGUGGUGCAUGGUUGUCGUCAGCUCGUGUCGUGAGAUGUUGGGUUAAGUCCCGCAACGAGCGCAACCCUUGCCUUUAGUUACCAGCAUUCAGUUGGGGACUCUAGAGGGACUGCCGGUGACAAACCGGAGGAAGGUGGGGAUGACGUCAAAUCAUCAUGCCCCUUAUGACUUGGGCUACACACGUACUACAAUGGCGUAUACAGAGAGACGCGAAAUGGCGACAUGGAGCAAACCUCACAAAGUACGUCUCAGUUCAGAUUGAAGUCUGCAACUCGACUUCAUGAAGGCGGAAUCGCUAGUAAUCGCGGAUCAGCAUGCCGCGGUGAAUACGUUCUCGGGCCUUGUACACACCGCCCGU
RNAcentral lists this ribosomal RNA (1378 nucleotides) under uncultured bacterium. RNAcentral's name for it is "bacterial SSU rRNA". It matches the Rfam family "Bacterial small subunit ribosomal RNA". The record is from RNAcentral.